ACCGGUUUGGCUCAGUGGAUAGAGCAUCGGCCUGUGGAUUGAAGGGUCCCGGGUUUGAUUCCCGGAUCAGGGG
Non-coding RNA from Myotis brandtii (Brandt's bat), 73 nucleotides. The record is from Rfam. Lineage: Eukaryota; Metazoa; Chordata; Mammalia; Chiroptera; Vespertilionidae.